This 343-nucleotide unclassified non-coding RNA is filed under the name soil metagenome. RNAcentral describes it as "partial contains 5.8S ribosomal RNA, internal transcribed spacer 2, and large subunit ribosomal RNA". The stretch from base 1 to 120 matches the Rfam family "5.8S ribosomal RNA", at positions 35 to 154 of the family's 154-position model. The record is from RNAcentral.
GAUGAAGAACGUAGUGAAAUGCGAUAAGUAAUGUGAAUUGCAGAAUUCAGUGAAUCAUCGAAUCUUUGAACGCACAUUGCGCCCGCUAGUAUUCUGGCGGGCAUGCCUGUCCGAGCGUCAUUUCAACCCUCAAGCCCCCGGGCUUGGUGUUGGGGAUCGGCGAGCCUCCGCGCCCGCCGUCCCCUAAAUCUAGUGGCGGUCUCGCAGUAGCUUCCUCUGCGUAGUAGCACACCUCGCACUGGGAAACAGCGCGGCCACGCCGUUAAACCCCCAACUUCUGAACGUUUGACCUCGGAUCAGGUAGGAAUACCCGCUGAACUUAAGCAUAUCAAUAAGCGGAGGA